UACAGAGGUCUCAAGCGUUGUUCGGAUUCAUUGGGCGUAAAGGGUGCGUAGGCGGCGCGGUAAGUCGGGUGUGAAAUCUCGGGGCUUAACUCCGAAACUGCAUUCGAUACUACCGUGCUUGAGGACUGGAGAGGAGACUGGAAUUUACGGUGUAGCGGUGAAAUGCGUAGAUAUCGUAAGGAAGACCAGUGGCGAAGGCGGGUCUCUGGACAGUUCCUGACGCUGAGGCGCGAAGGCCAGGGGAGCAAACGGG
This 253-nucleotide ribosomal RNA is filed under the name uncultured bacterium. RNAcentral's name for it is "partial 16S ribosomal RNA". It matches the Rfam family "Bacterial small subunit ribosomal RNA", at positions 524 to 776 of the family's 1533-position model. The record is from RNAcentral.